Molecule: ribosomal RNA, 425 nt
Filed under: uncultured bacterium
Lineage: Bacteria
Description: partial 16S ribosomal RNA
Rfam family: Bacterial small subunit ribosomal RNA
Source: RNAcentral
GUGGGGAAUCUUGCGCAAUGGGCGAAAGCCUGACGCAGCCAUGUCGCGUGAAUGAUGAAGGUCUUAGGAUUGUAAAAUUCUUUCACCGGGGACGAUAAUGACGGUACCCGGAGAAGAAGCCCCGGCUAACUUCGUGCCAGCAGCCGCGGUAAUACGAAGGGGGCUAGCGUUGCUCGGAAUUACUGGGCGUAAAGGGCGCGUAGGCGGAUCGUUAAGUCAGGGGUGAAAUCCCAGAGCUCAACUCUGGAACUGCCCUUGAUACUGGCGAUCUUGAGUGUGAGAGAGGUAUGUGGAACUCCGAGUGUAGAGGUGAAAUUCGUAGAUAUUCGGAAGAACACCAGUGGCGAAGGCGACAUACUGGCUCAUUACUGACGCUGAGGCGCGAAAGCGUGGGGAGCAAACAGGAUUAGAAACCCCGGUAGUCC